CGAAGGGUGAGGAACACGUGAGGAAUCUACCUUCCCUGUGGGAUACUUCGGGAAGCCGGGGCUAAUACCGGAUAUUUUCAACUGGCGGCAUCGCCGGUUGAAGAAAGUUUUUCGGUGAAGGAUGACCUCGCGGCCUAUCAGCUUGUUGGUGAGGUAAUGGCUCACCAAGGCAACGACGGGUAGCCGGCCUGAGAGGGCGACCGGCCACACUGGGACUGAGACACGGCCCAGACUCCUACGGGAGGCAGCAGUGGGGAAUAUUGGGCAAUGGAGGAAACUCUGACCCAGCGACGCCGCGUGAGGGAUGAAGGCCUUCGGGUUGUAAACCUCUUUCAGCAGGGAAUAAGCGAAAGUGAAGGUACCUGCAGAAGAAGCACCGGCUAACUAUGUGCCAGCAGCCGCGGUAAUACAUAGGGUGCGAGCGUUGUCCGGAAUUAUUGGGCGUAAAGAGCUCGUAGGUGGUCGAUCACGUCGGAUGUGAAAUUCUGAGGCUUAACCUCGGACCUGCAUUCGAUACGGGUUGACUAGAGUGUGGUAGGGGAGACUGGAAUUCCUGGUGUAGCGGUGGAAUGCGCAGAUAUCAGGAGGAACACCGAUGGCGAAGGCAGGUCUCUGGGCCAUUACUGACACUGAGGAGCGAAAGCGUGGGGAGCGAACAGGAUUAGAUACCCUGGUAGUCCACGCCGUAAACGGUGGGCGCUAGUUGUGGGAACCUUCCACGGUUUCUGCGACGCAGCUAACGCAUUAAGCGCCCCGCCUGGGGAGUGCGGUCGCAAGACUAAAACUCAAAGGAAUUGACGGG
Molecule: ribosomal RNA, 802 nt
Filed under: uncultured bacterium
Lineage: Bacteria
Description: bacterial SSU rRNA
Rfam family: Bacterial small subunit ribosomal RNA
Source: RNAcentral